This is a long non-coding RNA of Ornithodoros turicata, 855 nucleotides long. RefSeq lists it as uncharacterized. The transcript is spliced from 3 exons. The record is from RefSeq and is a predicted model, not a curated record. NCBI's taxonomy places the organism in Eukaryota, Metazoa, Arthropoda, Arachnida, Ixodida, Argasidae.
UAGUAUUCUAUGCGGCCCACGGAAGAAACCACGUGAGCCUCACCUUGAGCCAUUACCCCCUUAUUUGGGAGAGGGACCAAUGUGGUCGCUCAACGCGCCAUAGAGAAGAGAAGAAUAUCCGGAGGCUGCGCACACAGCUGGCCUAAUUGAAUGCCAUACUGCGCUGCUGGUAAGCGACGCUUUGCACUUGUGCUGUGUCCUGCGUAGGUUUAUGCUCCAUUUGACACACGGAUACGUGUCACAUGUUUUCUACGCGAUAUAUGCUGCGAUACGGAGAAGCGUAUCCAAAAAGCACAAGCAACACCAACCUGAAACCUUAUUAACCUCUUAUUAACUCCUGAUCUGUAAUUCCUUGGGUAACCGUCGCAGGCGUUAUGGCGAGGACGACAACAUAAUAUUUCCAUAUUUUCCACUCUAGGUGGCUGAUCCCAGGGUGAAUCGAUACUGCGGCGUUAAUUGUGUGAGGGACGGCAAUGAAACAAUUCCGUUCCUUGGAUUAUGCAAUGAGCAGUCGCACAGCGCAACAAAAAUUUGCUUACCAGACGCCUACAAGCUGUGCUUCGACGGACGUUGUGGGAAGAAGUACAGCGAGCUACGGGAACUUUCACGACGCAACUGGAAUGUCCCGGACACCCACUUCAAGGACGCCGAAAUUUGUAGUGGCAAAGGCUAACGAGAAAAAGCAGAGUGCUUGUAGCGUCGACGUGAAAUUUUGUCGUCAUUACAGCGAUGCGUAUUGAUAUGGAGCCUGAAGCAACAUGUGUGAACAGAAGCACAGACCUUGUGUUUGCAUUUGUAUUUGUAUUUGCGUUUGUAUUUCACGAGAUAUAUAGUUGAUGUAUUCGAUGCAGACAU